AGCCCCGGCACCUCUUAUUGGUGCCUCUCUAAAUUUGCACUUUAG
RNAcentral lists this transfer RNA (45 nucleotides) under Gekko chinensis (Gray's Chinese gecko). RNAcentral describes it as "partial tRNA-Cys". Lineage: Eukaryota; Metazoa; Chordata; Lepidosauria; Squamata; Gekkonidae. The record is from RNAcentral.